AGUUAAGGCAUUAUAUAAACAAUGCAGUUACCAUGAGGGAAUAAUAUCUGAAACUUUUAUUAAUUGGUGAAUGACUCUUCAUUUGGAAGAUUAAAUAUAACCUUCUUAUGAAAGCAAUCUAUGAUGGUGUAAUAUGUCUCUAACCAAUUCAUCCCUAGAAUUACAUCGAAUUCUCUAUUACUAUCAUGUCUACACUCAAUUUUCUACCUGUUAUUUCUAUAACGCAAGCUUUGUAUAUGACCUCCUCUAGUAGUGUCUCAUUCUCAAGAGGAAACACAAAUAGUACAAGGUCGAGAUUUUCAAAUAACACAU
RNAcentral lists this long non-coding RNA (312 nucleotides) under Carica papaya (papaya). RNAcentral's name for it is "long non-coding RNA (CPAP_LNC012189)". Lineage: Eukaryota; Viridiplantae; Streptophyta; Magnoliopsida; Brassicales; Caricaceae. The record is from RNAcentral.